This 253-nucleotide ribosomal RNA is filed under the name uncultured bacterium. RNAcentral's name for it is "partial 16S ribosomal RNA". It matches the Rfam family "Bacterial small subunit ribosomal RNA", at positions 524 to 776 of the family's 1533-position model. The record is from RNAcentral.
UACGGAGGGUGCGAGCGUUGUCCGGAAUCACUGGGCGUAAAGCGUGCGCAGGCGGUUCGCCAAGUCAGGUGUGAAAUCCCCGGGCUUAACCUGGGAAUUGCGCUUGAAACUAGCGGGCUUGAGUGUGGCAGAGGGGGGUGGAAUUCCACGUGUAGCAGUGAAAUGCGCAGAUAUCAGGAAGAACACCCGUGGCGAAGGCGGCUCUCUGGGACGGUACUGACGCUGAGACGCGAAAGCGUGGGGAGCGAACAGG